This 488-nucleotide ribosomal RNA is filed under the name uncultured bacterium. RNAcentral describes it as "partial 16S ribosomal RNA". It matches the Rfam family "Bacterial small subunit ribosomal RNA", at positions 30 to 507 of the family's 1533-position model. The record is from RNAcentral.
UGAACGCUGGCGGCAGGCCUACCACAUGCAAGUCGAACGGUAACAGGAAGCAGCUUGCUGCUUCGCUGACGAGUGGCGGACGGGUGAGUAAUGUCUGGGAAGCUGCCUGAUGGAGGGGGAUAACUACUGGAAACGGUAGCUAAUACCGCAUAAUGUCGCAAGACCAAAGAGGGGGACCUUCGGGCCUCUUGCCAUCGGAUGUGCCCAGAUGGGAUUAGCUUGUUGGUGGGGUAACGGCUCACCAAGGCGACGAUCCCUAGCUGGUCUGAGAGGAUGACCAGCCACACUGGGACUGAGACACGGUCCAGACUCCUACGGGAGGCAGCAGUGGGGAAUAUUGCACAAUGGGCGCAAGCCUGAUGCAGCCAUGCCGCGUGUAUGAAGAAGGCCUUCGGGUUGUAAAGUACUUUCAGCGGGGAGGAAGGGAGUAAAGUUAAUACCUUUGCUCAUUGACGUUACCCGCAGAAGAAGCACCGGCUAACUCCGUG